RNAcentral lists this ribosomal RNA (159 nucleotides) under Suillus glandulosus. RNAcentral's name for it is "5.8S ribosomal RNA". It matches the Rfam family "5.8S ribosomal RNA". Rfam says of the family: 5.8S ribosomal RNA (5.8S rRNA) is a component of the large subunit of the eukaryotic ribosome. It is transcribed by RNA polymerase I as part of the 45S precursor that also contains 18S and 28S rRNA. Lineage: Eukaryota; Fungi; Basidiomycota; Agaricomycetes; Boletales; Suillaceae. The record is from RNAcentral.
CAACUUUCAGCAAUGGAUCUCUUGGCUCUCGCAUCGAUGAAGAACGCARMRAAUCGCGAUAUGYAAUGUGAAUUGCAGAUCUACAGUGAAUCAUCGAAUCUUUGAACGCACCUUGCGCUUCUCGGUGUUCCGAGGAGCAUGCCUGUUUGAGUGUCAGUA